This is a long non-coding RNA of Acanthopagrus latus (yellowfin seabream), 1479 nucleotides long. RefSeq lists it as uncharacterized. NCBI's taxonomy places the organism in Eukaryota, Metazoa, Chordata, Actinopteri, Spariformes, Sparidae. The transcript is spliced from 5 exons. The record is from RefSeq and is a predicted model, not a curated record.
GGAGACUGAGGGAAACUCUGUCUGACCUAAAAUGGCCUCAGCUGCUGACGCCUUCUCUGCUCCUCUCCUCCCACACAGAACCAGGUUCACAGCUGGUCUGAUGUGUUCAGACUGUGGUCUGAUGGUCUCGUCACUGAAGUACAAUCCUGACUGUAGGUGUUGAAACAGAUGGUGCUGAAAAAGAAGGGGUGGAGCACAUUAGGGUUGAUGGCAACAGGUAGGUGAUGCCAAAUUCAAACACUACACCACAGCUUGCAGUUUGAUCACCUAUAGCAGUAGGUAUCAACCUUUCUUGGGGGCCAGCACCCUUCAUCUAGUGUCCAGGUCCUUAAUUGCCCCCAUCAGAUAAUGUGUUUGGUAAUAUGUUACGGCGAAUGACUUCCCUGAAACUGAUUUGGUUUGAAAGAUGACAGCCAAACAUUAUCAUACUUGGCAAGUUGCUCAACCACAAAGUGAUUGUGAUUAGCCACUUCACAAAAGUGCUCAUUGCAGUGCUUGUUCUUGCGUGAUUUCGACUCCAACAAACAAACUUAAGGCAAAACAUCUCGAUCGCAUGUGUAGCAUGAGAUCUGUGUCAAAUGUAUUUGUCUCAUGCUCAAUGUGUAAGAGUUGGCAGCUGUCACAUACACAUAGAAAAGAAGAGCAUAGAUGUUUGAUUGUGGCAUAAUGAUAACAGCCCUGUCAUUCCAUUAAAGUUGGACUGUUCAGUCGGACACACCAGAAGAUCUAAACUCAACUGAGUGCACUGUUGUUGUUUCAGAAUGGGACAGAUGAACAACCAGAAAACAUAAUGCCUCUGGCCAUGGCUACUGCAGGCAUGGAGGCUGUGAAAAUAUUUCAGCCCUAUGAAAAGAUAACACCAUCAACUGAAGAACUCUGACUGAAUGUUCAAAUCUGAUCAGGGAUGACUUCUGCUCAUCACCACAUUGUUAAAGUAGCUCUCGUACUUACCAGCAGCCUUGACAGGACCCAAGUCUAUAUGGAGUCCAUCUCCUUGUGUUGUGCCUUGAGGACCACCAGGCAUCCUUCCAUGGAACCUGGACUCUCCUCUCUGGGUGGUGCUAUCAGAACCAGUGAAUGAUCAAAUGAUUUAUCACUGAAGUUUUCAAGGAUUGACUGCAGCCUCCGUUUGUUUUGCUCAGUGAAGACUUCAGGCUGUAGAACCAGCAGGAACACAUGAGGACCAGGAGCAGAGAAUCUCACACAGCUUUGUGGUUCUCCCUCGGUGGCAAACGCAGUCACUCCCAGUAUGAAGUUCCCCACUGAACUCCUCUGAGACCAGCUGUUCCCCAGCAGAACCACCCUCAGCUCAGACACUGGAAUGACAAUUACUUAAAUCACUGAAUCAACUCUAUCAACUAAUAUCAUGUGAUAACAGAUCUGUUGUACAGUUUACAUUAAUAUCAUUCCUGCACCCUUAGAUGGAUCAUCCAUCAGACAAAGUGAAUUCUAAAUAAACACAAGAAUAAUUCUGACUCA